Molecule: ribosomal RNA, 253 nt
Filed under: uncultured bacterium
Lineage: Bacteria
Description: partial 16S ribosomal RNA
Rfam family: Bacterial small subunit ribosomal RNA
Source: RNAcentral
UACGUAGGGGGCUAGCGUUGUCCGGAAUCAUUGGGCGUAAAGCGCGUGUAGGCGGCCCGGUAAGUCCGCUGUGAAAGUCCAGGGCUCAACCCUGGAAUGCCGGUGGAUACUGUCGAGCUAGAGUCCGGAAGAGGCGAGUGGAAUUCCUGGUGUAGCGGUGAAAUGCGCAGAUAUCAGGAGGAACACCAAUGGCGAAGGCAGCUCGCUGGGACGGUACUGACGCUGAGACGCGAAAGCGUGGGGAGCAAACAGG